CAUGUAAUGACUCUUACGAAAUGUAAAUAAAAACAUUAUUCGGAAGUAAGCUUAAAGGCAAAAAGUACACCUUCUAAAUCACUGGACAAAAUUAAUUCGACCUUUCCCCAUUAGAUACGCUUUUCAUUUCGGAAGUGAAGGUGCACCACUGGUGGGCAUACUGCCAAAUAGUGUCCUGUUACUCUCAUAAAAUCUCUUUAUAACGAACACUCUAUUACCACAUGUUGUUUCACCUUGUUGCUGUUGUUUUACAAGCUUGAACAAUUUGGAGGAAGUACCAGUGAACAGGUAAACUUCUCAUUGUAUUUUCAAAUGCCGUGUUCAUCAUUUUUAAAGUUGACAGUUGUCUGAAAUGACUGACAUCAUGUUUCUUUUUACAGAGAUUUGGCUUUUACCCACUGCCAGGACCGCCAUUUUUUCCUCCGAUCCUGUUUCCCCCACCUCCACCUCCACAACUGCCCUUGAUUCCAAUUCCUCUUCCUUUUCCUUUUGAUCCAAAUCAG
RNAcentral lists this long non-coding RNA (503 nucleotides) under Mustela putorius furo (domestic ferret). Its description in RNAcentral is "lncRNA (ENSMPUG00000031682.1)". Lineage: Eukaryota; Metazoa; Chordata; Mammalia; Carnivora; Mustelidae. The record is from RNAcentral.